Molecule: ribosomal RNA, 162 nt
Filed under: Cylindrotheca sp. IOAC738S
Lineage: Eukaryota; Bacillariophyta; Bacillariophyceae; Bacillariales; Bacillariaceae
Description: 5.8S ribosomal RNA
Rfam family: 5.8S ribosomal RNA
About the family: 5.8S ribosomal RNA (5.8S rRNA) is a component of the large subunit of the eukaryotic ribosome.
Source: RNAcentral
GUACAACUUUCAGCGGUGGAUGUCUAGGUUCCCACAACGAUGAAGAACGCGGCGAAAUGCGAUACGUAAUGCGAAUUGCAAGACCUCGUGAAUCAUUAAGAUUUUGAACGCACAUUGCGCUUUCGGGAUUUUCCCGGUAGCAUGCUUGUCUGAGUGUCUGUG